GAGUAUCAAUUGGAGGGCAAGUCUGGUGCCAGCAGCCGCGGUAAUUCCAGCUCCAAUAGCGUAUAUUAAACUUGUUGCAGUUAAAAAGCUCGUAGUUGAAUUUCUGCUGUAUCGUUUUYCUYUGCUUGACAGWUGGAUUUCGUUAUGGSUUARKUGGGKUMCAGUUUYUGUUACCUGACGUUUACUUUGAGAAAAUUAGAGUGCUUCAAGCAGGCUUUUGCCUUGAAUACUUUAGCAUGGAAUAAUGGAGUAGGACUUUGGUUCUAUUUUGUUGGUUUUAGGAGCCAGAGUAAUGGUUAAUAGGAACAGUUGGGGGCAUUCGUAUUUGACUGUCAGAGGUGAAAUUCUU
RNAcentral lists this ribosomal RNA (349 nucleotides) under Theileria equi. RNAcentral describes it as "partial 18S ribosomal RNA". It matches the Rfam family "Eukaryotic small subunit ribosomal RNA", at positions 541 to 932 of the family's 1831-position model. Lineage: Eukaryota; Apicomplexa; Aconoidasida; Piroplasmida; Theileriidae. The record is from RNAcentral.